Molecule: long non-coding RNA, 1044 nt
Organism: Coturnix japonica (Japanese quail)
Lineage: Eukaryota; Metazoa; Chordata; Aves; Galliformes; Phasianidae
Source: RefSeq, a predicted model, not a curated record
CUGCCACUGGGGAUGGUUCUCUGGUUGGUGGUCCCUCCCUAGUGGAGUUUUCCUGGGAGUGUAGCCCUUUAGAGACAGAGUCCCCUCAAGAGAAAAAAGGCAUAUAAAAAGGAAGCUGAAAUUCCUCAAGGAUAACGGGAGUACCCAGGAAUUAUUUUUGGCUGUUGAAAUACUUGUAUGUAGCUGGCACCUUGAACAUUAAGGAAAGGCAGCCGUUCUCCAAAAACACAGAAGCUUUGCUUGUUUUAAGCAUCAAUUGUGACAACAUCAUUAGAAAAUCAGCAUCAUUACAACCACAAGGACCUUUUCCAUGUGAGAAUGCGUAAAACAUUAGAAGUGAACUUCUGUCUUCUGACAUGUGUUGCACCCUCCAAAUGAGCUGGAAAGAAAGUAGGAGUUUAUCAGGCAUCAAGUUCAGCCAUCCAAAUAUCGCAAUCCUCAUUUUUGUUGCUAGUCGUAUGCAAUUUUGAAAUGGUUUGUAAAUUUAAUUGUCAGUGUAUAGAGUAUGCUCAGGCCAUGCAAAAGCAACAGCACUGCCUAGGAUUAGCAGCUGUAUUUCUUAGGCAAGUAGGUCUAACCUGCUUUGUUGGAAGCAAAAUUGCCCCUGUGCUGUUUUAGCAAGGUGGCAGACAGAUAGGGUGACACUUGGUGCUGUGAACACUCAGAAAUGGUAGCACUUCUGGGUCAUCAGUCGCUCCACUAUAAAGCUGGAGCAAAGUUAUCUGCUUAUAUUGCCUGUUGUUACUACUUCCAAUGGCCAGGAGAUGAAAACAGAGGAUCUCCUUCCUUUUUACUGCACUAAUAUUAUGAAUGAUGGUAAUUGUGUUGUUUUUUUUUUCUUGUUUGUUUGUUUUUUUCAGGCUGAUGAGAAUCAGCAUUCAUUUUGGAAUUUUUGCUAUUGAUGGUCAGUACUUAAGUUAGGCAUCACUAUAAAUCAAGAUUUAGAACAUAUCUUGUCCCAGUGCGCGCUUCUACUCCUUGUGUGUUACAACUUACGUGAAUGAUUGGAUGCCAUAUUAAACUACUAUAUUACGCUAUAGUCUA